GUUAGAGGUUGCAUAGUUCUAGAA
RNAcentral lists this non-coding RNA (24 nucleotides) under Arabidopsis thaliana (thale cress). Lineage: Eukaryota; Viridiplantae; Streptophyta; Magnoliopsida; Brassicales; Brassicaceae. The record is from RNAcentral.